This 354-nucleotide long non-coding RNA is filed under the name Manihot esculenta (cassava). Its description in RNAcentral is "long non-coding RNA (MESC_LNC012706)". The record is from RNAcentral. Lineage: Eukaryota; Viridiplantae; Streptophyta; Magnoliopsida; Malpighiales; Euphorbiaceae.
UUAAAUUAAUGAAAUGUUUCAGCAUGAUUCAUGCAUCAUAAAUGCUAUGUAUAUUUUAGGUUGUUGCAUUAGUUUCACGAAUAUGUUGCAUUGCACAUAUUGAUGUUAGUGUGGAUGGACAUUGAAUGAUCCAUAGCCCCCAACCUAUGAUAUGAUGUUAUGUUAUGCAUGAUACAGAAUGAAAGACCAGUGGGACCCAUUCUACGUUCGCUGGCACUAUGUAAGAGAAAGACCAGGACCCAUUCUAUGUUCUGGCAUAGUUGGACAGUUAUGUAUGUUUAAGGGAAAGACCAGGACCCAUUCUACGUUCUGGCACAGUUGGACAAUGUGGAGGGCUAUUGGUGACAAUUCCAU